This is a long non-coding RNA of Cotesia glomerata, 370 nucleotides long. RefSeq lists it as uncharacterized. The record is from RefSeq and is a predicted model, not a curated record. Lineage: Eukaryota; Metazoa; Arthropoda; Insecta; Hymenoptera; Braconidae. The transcript is spliced from 2 exons.
GUAUAAAAUUGUCACAUAUUUUUUAUAACUUUUUUUUUACAAUUAUUUAUAAAAUUUAUUUAUUUUUAUGUUUCUUGCUAUUGACAUACGUAUAAAAACAUACUCUGACAGCCUCCCGUAGUUCAUAUUUUGACUGGCGCUGCAGUCACACUCAUAGCGAAUACAUAGUGCGUAAUAUACUAUCUUACAUGUACUUAUAUAAACUUAUUUAUAUAUAACACUUAUUAUUUGCGGCUGCGGCCGGCUUACAUAUUCAUGUACCUGUAUUUACCUGGCUUUAAAUUCAGCACAGCGACCUAGGGAAACCGCAGAAAACCUGGUCGAGGCUUUUAAGGUAUUAUCUGCUCAAUAAAUUAUAUCAGAUGCGGAA